Molecule: transfer RNA, 74 nt
Filed under: Candidatus Ryanbacteria bacterium RIFCSPHIGHO2_01_FULL_48_80
Lineage: Bacteria; Candidatus Ryaniibacteriota
Also listed under: 5 other names
Description: tRNA-Ile
Rfam family: tRNA
About the family: Transfer RNA (tRNA) molecules are approximately 80 nucleotides in length. Their secondary structure includes four short double-helical elements and three loops (D, anti-codon, and T loops).
Source: RNAcentral
GCGAGCGUAGCUCAACUGGUUAGAGCACCAAGCUUAUACCUUGGGGGUUCCUGGUUCGAGUCCAGGCGCUCGCA